Molecule: long non-coding RNA, 5424 nt
Filed under: Heterocephalus glaber (naked mole-rat)
Lineage: Eukaryota; Metazoa; Chordata; Mammalia; Rodentia; Bathyergidae
Description: lncRNA (ENSHGLG00100038483.1)
Source: RNAcentral
GUCACAUCUCUAGUUAGAGUUUAAUGGCCUGAGGUUAAUUGUUUCUGACUGGUUACGCUUUAAUUUCAUUCUCCUGUUUACAUUAAGUUGGAUUUGGCUUUGCUUUUGUAUGAACCCAAGGCACUGGAGCUGUUCUAAAGGCUUCCCAUGAAUCAUCUUAACACACUGGUGAGCUCAAUGCACCACUCAAUCAUCUUUCUUCCAGUGCAUCUAGGAAUUUCAUCUGGGAAAUUAAUGUCUGAUCCUACUAGGGAAAUUUGAAACAACCACUAUAAAAUGCUAAAAUCCCCCCCUCCCUGAAUGAUUUAAUGGACAGUGCAUAUGCAUGAAGUUUAGAACAGAUCUGCCCAAUAGGACUUUUUGAAGGAUGGAAAUGUUCCAUAUCUGGACUGUCCAAUAUGGUAACCAGUAGCCCCAUAUGGGCACUGAGAAAAUGAAUUAUAGCUGUUACAACUGGGGAACUAGAUUUUAAACUAUGUGAGUUUUUUCUUUUUAUUUAAUAUGAAUUAGAACAAUUCUAUUGAACUAAAAUUUACAUACCACACAAUUUACAAAUGUAAAAUGUAGGAUUCAAUAGGUUUUAGGACAUUGACAGAGUUGUACAACUAUACUACAAUCAAAUUUAAGUUAUUUUUGAUAUCCCAAAGCAAACCACUGUAUCCACUAGCUAUGAUCUCUCAAUUUCUCCCCUCUACAUCUAGGCAACUGAGAAUAGCACUGAGCUGUUCUUUACCAUCACAGAUUUUCCUAUUCUGGAAAUCUCUUUUUUGUUGUUGUUGUUCAAAAUAGACUAUGCUUAUAACAACGAUAAAGAUCUAAACUAUGCAAAAUUUAAUCAUUUUAAAUUUAAAAUUAAAUUUGGCCAUAAUCUCUACAAAUUACAUGCAUUAGAGCCUGGUAAACAUGAUAAGAUACUGAAUAAAUCCCACUAGUGAGGAAAAUGUGGUAACAUUUUCAGAAAAGUUAUAACUAUUCAUUCAAUUAUUUUCUCUAGCCCCCAAGACUAGUAACAUCUUUGUAAGUUGCAUUUGAUCUUACUUCUGUUGGUCUGAAUCCUAUAUCCCAGCAAAGAGAUGAAAGGAAAGAAAAUGCUAACUCAUAAAGUGAUGCAUUUAGGCUGAGGUUUGGAGCAAGACAACGAGCAGAACAACCUGAAUUGUUUCGAGGCAGUCCAUGAGCUAGGCAACAAGAAGUUACCAGGUGUGAGAAUGGGAACACCUGGCAAAACAGUGCCGAUCCUCAUUGUGAGCAGAGCCAGUGCUCUGGCAUUCCUUCCUUCCUUCCUUCAUCUAUUCAUCCAACAGUGACGAAGUCUCUACUCCAGAUACAUCAUAUCCUGGGAUAAUGAAAAGAUUCGUGGAAACUCAAAAGAUCAAGAAGAUCCACUGAAUCAGAAACUAGGAAUGCAGUACAGCAAACUAGAUUUUAACCAAGGCUUCUAUGGGAUUCUGGUGCUCGUGAAGGUUGGAGAGUCCUUGUCCUACUACCACUCCUUGGAUUCUCAUUGGUAAAAGCUGGAGAUCUUUCUCAGCCCGAGGCUCUGGGGAAGAUUCCUGGAGCAUGAGGUAGGGAGGAAAUACAGGAGAGCCAAUGCCCCUACCCAGCGGAAUUUGAACUCUAAAGUAAAAAAUACAACCUCAUUAGUUUUUCAAUUUUUUAGUGUUUAUUUUUAAGGGGGCCUGGAGAACAGAGGUAGGACCAACAUACAGAGGCUAAAUGGUAGAUGGUUUCUAGUGAGGAAAGAAGUAAUAAAGUAACAGUGAAUGGUGUUUGAUGGUGCUAUAGUGAGUGGACUUCUUCCAGAGCCCCGAAUCUUUAUCACUAGAGGGAAAGAAAUGGCAGGUAUUUUGGAGUCAAAAGUCCUGAGCAGGUCAGAGGAAGCUGAGAGGUUGGCUAGUGUUACCUUCUCCGUCUUAAAGUGCUGACUUCCACAACUCUCAGCUUCUGUGUAUUCUCAUGGUUGAUGCCUUUGUGUUCACAUAGUUCAUACCAAUCUCUAUCAGCUCCUCUUAGGAAACGAAGGUGGGACCCAGCAUUUUUGGGAAUUGCAACCCAUUGAAUAGAAGAAUUCAGGAGCUCUAGAAUUUUUUCCUAGCAAGGAGCAAGUUGAAGAUGGACUUACAGCCCUUUACUGAGUGCCCAGUGCUGGCUGCUAGAUUUCCCAAUUUCUGAUGACCUGAAUGGAGGGAGGAAAUGUGGUUAAGGAGUUUAAUCCCAACCCAGCCACUGACUGUGUGAUUUGGACAGUUGGUUCUCACUGCCUGGCACCCUCAUCUAUAAACAGGGAGAAUCAAAUUUGUGAAUGCAGAUCGGGAGCUGUCAUCAAUGUCAAAGGAAGGGACAAGGAUAUCAAAGUAUAUGUAAUCCCAGCUUCUCUUCUUCCUAGGAGGAUUUUGUAUUUCAGAUUUUUUUGCUCAGAGUAAGAUUGCAGAAAAAAGGAAAUGAGACUACUACAGAAGAACAUUAUGGAGCCGAAGUUGUAGAAGAGAUGAAGAGGAAGGCUAGUAUUUGAAGGGACCAGAGCAGCAGAGAGGCUGAAAGCAUGAUGGGAGCUUUGGGGAGGACAGUAGAGAGCCUUUUAGGCAGUUUGCUUUGUGCUGUGUGAAAUGAUUUUCCCCUGGUUUCCUCUGCAAAUGACUUCAGGAAAACACUGGCUCAAGGAUCUUGAGGUCAGAUGUACUAUAUGAUGUCUUUGCAUUGGGUAUUAGCCUCAAAGCUCUGGCAAUAAGGCCUACCUAAAUUCAACAACCUUCUUAUUUGCUAACAAAAUCAAUCUAAGCCUUGUAGAUCUGUCUGGGGGUUACAGUUGUCCAAGAUCAGCCCUUUCUCAUUGUCCAUCUCCUCAAUUUAUUUUUCAAUUUUUAACAAUAAAUAUGGACCACUUAUAAAAGAUUAUUUGAAACAUUUCCAGGCCAGGGUCAACCAGUUGCUCAUCAGUGACAGGAGAUGGAGCAAAGUUCUGAGGCAAGACGCACUUUACACACUGGGUCACACAGAAGAAAUGGCUGGGGAAGAUCUAUGUCAAACCUGGAUGUGUGGCCUUGCUGUAGAUUGCUGGCAAUGAAUGUUGCCAUGGUCUGCAAAGGCCUGCAGGGAGAGGAGUUUACAGGAUCAGCUCAGAAAGAUUGCUAGGCACAGGUGGGUUUUUUUUUUUUUUUCAAAAUCCCAUCCAAAAGCAUUUACUUUAAUAAAUAUACUGAGAUGAAAUAAUAAUCAUGUCACUGGUGCAUAAGAAGGAUAAUAAGAUAUUAAUAUACAGCCCAAAUAAAUUCAACUCCCUUUGAGAGAAAUAGCUAACUUGCCAAUAUGUAUGAAUCAAUUUAACUUACAAAGGGAGAAGAGUUGUUCGUUGGAGUACACUGAGAGUAGUGAUUAAUAGACUGCCAAUUCUAAUAUGAAUUUUGUUUCUGUCCCAGGGAGGGUUUAAAAUUCAUUGUAUUUUUAGGCAUACAAUUCUUCUACACCUAUUUUUUUUCAAUUUUAAACUUUAUAGGUUCUCUCUGUGAAAAAAGAAAAAAUGAGGGAAGGGUUGAAAGUGAAAUGUAAAACCUUGCAAACCUUCCUUUUUAAUGUGUGUAAGCAUAUAAAUACUUAGGCAUUUAAAUAGUAAGAUUAUGUUUUACACAUUGUGUUUGUAACUUGGGGUUUUUGAUGCUCGUUAAUUGAUUUAAUAGCUUUUUCCUGAGUAUCUAUUAGGCCCAUGGCAUUUUAUUAGGCUCUGAGGGGUAGCAUGGGGCUAUUCUCAGAGGUCAGAGUUUAGGGGAGGAGGAAAGAGAAUAAGUAGGUAAAUAAGCAUACAGUUGUAAACACAUACACAAUGUCUACUGUAUACAUUAUGUAAUUACGCUUUUCAAAGCACGCUGAUAGGAAGGAGAAGAAGUGGGAGGCAGAACAAUGAGCAGGUUAUAUUCAGUAAAAGGAGCCAUGGAUACUGCUCUGAGAAGGUGACACAGAAGGCAGGACCCAAGGACAAGUCACAAGACAGCCUUAGCGCAAGAAGGUAGAGUUUCAAUCAGAUAUGUUACACUAAAUAAAAACCCAAUUUGGCUGACACUACACCUCCCUUGCAAAAGAGGAAACUGAGGCUCAGGGAGUCUGAGGAGCCUUUUCAAAGCCACACAUUAACUUCUGCAAGAGUUCGCAUAGGUUUUAUGUUCAGUCAUCAAGUUGCUAAACAAUUGAGCUUUAUCCCAAAGCUUCAAUGGUAGACUUCAAGUGGAAUGCAUUAUCUGCUUAUAAAAGUCACACUGAUUAUUGUCAACUUUAUCAUCAUUGUCAUUGUCACUGUCAUCACCAUCAGCAGCAGCUAAAGCUAGCAAAGGCUCUACUAGCCAUGCAGGAGCCAGCAGCACACAAAAAGCCAAACUCCCUCUUGCCUAUGACCCAUCUGUCAGUGGAGCCCUCUGUGAAUGGAUGCUGGAUGCCGGUGAGCAUUUGCAUUUGGUUGUUCAUUCCACAUUUUUGCCCUUUCAGCCCUUCCCAUAAGCAUGUAUAAGGGAUACAAAGCCAUUUUAAUGCACAAAUGGCCAGGGGGUGCCUCUGGUUUUGGUAUCUAUUUAUAUCCAUAUAGCCAGAUGGAAAUCUAUCCUUAAGGUCCUAACAUGCACUAUUAAAGGAGAAAAACAAAAGCCACCAGGUCAAAGCAUGAGUCCCAGUGGGAAGUUAUUAGGAUCAUGGUGGUAUUACUCCAAGUCUGGUCCAUCAUUAUACAUGAAUCGUCAGUGCAUAUUGGGUAAGGCAAAGGGGAGCAGAGCAUUCCACUCUGAGGCUGUAUGUAUGCAUGUGUGUGUGUGUGUGUGCGCGCGCGCGCAUGUGUGCAAUUUUUUUACAGAACCAUAAUAAUGGGAAUUUAUUGAUCAUCUGUAUAUGCCUAAACCUUUGAAGAAGGCAGUAGGUUUAAAUAGAAUAAAGAGAACAAGCUGGAGUUUGAAGGUCUAUAUCAAGAAUGUUUGAGAUUCAUUCCUAAAACUUACUAUAUAAGCAAUUCUAAUAACAUAAAUGAUAUUAAAUAUUUAAGAAUGUAAAGAAUUGGAGAAGAUUACCUUUAUCAGGUAAGCAUUCCAAUGGAGAAAUUUAGGCAACUUUUAUUAAUUAAAUUUCUUAAAGUCUUAUUUUUUUUCUGUGACUCUUAGCUAAGCAGUUAGCUGAGUGCAUAGUAGGAUAUAAAUAAAAAUAAAUAGUAAUAACUUUUUAUGAAGGGGAAAAACCCAGUGAGUUUACAACUGUGUUGAGAUUUCUUGCCUCAAAUCUUCCACAAAAUUUUGUUAAGAAAUCUAUUUCAGACCACUGCUGAUUUAUAGAGUCCUUUCUCCUAUUGUAAUUUAUUUCUCCUUUCUCCAUGUUUAAGUGGUAUGGAAUAUCUAUGAAGAAUUGAAAUAAGCACACACAUCAUUAUGUUCAUUUCUAAUGCAUUAAAACUCAGCU